This 2813-nucleotide long non-coding RNA is filed under the name Aotus nancymaae (Ma's night monkey). RNAcentral describes it as "lncRNA (ENSANAG00000038904.1)". The record is from RNAcentral. Lineage: Eukaryota; Metazoa; Chordata; Mammalia; Primates; Aotidae.
UUAUUUUCUCUUCACAGGACAUGAGACUUCACAACCUGUUAAAAAUGAGCUUUUGGGACCUACUCAUCUAGGAAUAAACCAUUCUAGCUAUGAGAAAUCAGAUGGAACCUGAGAUCAGAGACUCAUUUUCUUGUAAAAUGCUUUCUCCAGAGGAUUUCAAAAAAGAAAAAGGGGAAGAACGGAAAAUACCUUGGGCCCCUGAAAUCACUAAGGAAAACUCAAGCUGGAAACUGCUUAGAGUGACCCUGCCUCCCAUUCUCUUCAGUCACUCCUCUGCUCACUGAGAUAGAUGCAUAUCUGAUUUGCCUCAUUUGAAAAGGUUAAUCAGAAACUCGAAAGACUGUAACCCUUUUUGUCUCACCUAUCUGUGACCUGAGUCUUCAUGCCUUUGCUUCAAGUUAUCCCGCAUUUCCAGACCAAACCAAUGUACUUCUUACAUAUAUUAAUUGAUGUCUCAUGUCGCCCUAAAUGUAUAAAACCAAGUUGUGCCCCAACCACCUUGGGCACAUGUCAUCAGGACUUCCUGAGGUUGUGUCACGGGCACAUCCUCAACCUUGGCAAAAUAAGCUCUAAAUUAACUGAGGCCUGUCUCAGAUGUUACUGGUUCACAUGAGUAACUCUUCUACAUGUCUUCUGCAUUCAACAGACACACACUGAACAGGAAUUCCCUACCCAACUCCUGCUGGGUAUGAAGCCAGAUGCUAGGAUUGAAGAGCUUUCAUGGGUGGAUGUACAUGGGACAAAUGUGAACACAGCAGGAUGGAGAGGGAGAAGUACCUACCAAUGCUUUGACCUGUCCUUAGUCAGUUCUCCUGGAGAUGACAGAAAGAAGCAUGUUAAGAAUGGAAAGAAGCUUGGACUCGGUGGUUCACACCUGUAAUCCCAGAACUUUGGGAGGCCAAGGCCCUUGCCAUAUUGGAGAAAUAUCAGAAAAUCCUUGAUGCGUCUCCUGGUUCAAAAGGAACUGAACAAGGAUUACGAGUAUCUAUCAACAGGAGCAACUCUGCUGGAUUUAAGAAUCUUCUUAAGCUUCUGUGGCAGUGGAGAUCCUUGGAAUGGUAAAGGAGCUUCUGGAUUUCUUUCUAUAGCUCAGCUACGUAAAGUACUUUUUGGAGACAACCACUCUCCAGGUUUCUCCCUUGAACGGAGGGGUCUGCGUGGGAUUCUGAAUAGUGGAGGCAUCCAUUGAGAAGAGUGUUUUCCACACCAUGCAGGCACUGUGGAUGCUUCUGGGAUUCUGGCAGGUGAAUCUGGGUAUGCUGGGUGAUAUUGAUGGCUUUUGUUGUUUGAUGCAGGAUCCAGUUGAGGUACAUAUACUGCAUUAGAUUGUUACAUUUCCUUUUUAAAUUUAACUUUUUGUGUGUGUGUGAUGGAGUUUCACUCUUGUCACCCUGGCUGGAGUGCAAUGGCACGAUCUUGGCUCACUGCAACCUCUGCCUCCUGGGUUCAAGCAAUACUCCUGCCUCCGCCUCCUGAAUAGCUGGGACUACAGGCACCCACAACCAUGCCCAGCUAGUUUUUGUAUUAUUAGUAGAGACAAGGUUUCACCAUGUUGGCCAGGCUGGUCUUGAACUCCUGACUUCAGCUGAUCUGCCCGCCUCUCAGGGGUACAUGUGUAGGUUUAUUAUAUAGGUAAAUUUGUGUCAUGGAAUUUUGUUGUACAGAUUCUUUUGUCACCCAGGUAUUAGUCCCAAUAUCCAUUAAUUAUUUUUCUUUAGCCUCUUUUAGUCUAGAAUAGUCACCCCACUCACCACCACCUUGGGGUUUUUUUGGUCACGUGGAACUUUUGGGGUUGAGAUUAAUUUACUAGAUUGUCCCCUGCUCCAUGCUGAUUUUAUUUGUUUUUGAGACGGAGUCUCGCACUGUUGCCCUGGUGGGAGUGCAAUCGCACGAUGUUGGCUCACACAACCUCCACCUCCCGGGUUCACACAAUUCUCCUGCCUCAGGCUUCCAAGUAGCUGGGAUUGCAGGCACAUACCACCACGCCUGGCUAAUUUUUUGUAUUUUUAGUAGAGACAGGGUUUGACUAUGUUGGCCUGACUGGUCUCAAACUCCUGACCCUGUGAUCCUCCCGCCUCUGCCUCCCAAAGUGCUGGGAUUACAGACGUGAGCCACCACGCCCAGCCUCCAUGCUGAAUUUCUAUAAUAGUUUCUUCAUGUUUGGAUUCAGAUCAAAUAUGUUUGGCAAGAUUACUUUGUAGAUGAUGGUUUGUACUUCUCACUGCCUCAUAUCAGGAGGAACAUAAAACCUGACCUGGGAAUCCCACAGUGAAUAAAUGCAUCUUAACAGUGUAUUAUGCUGUGUGGUGUGCUGAGUCCUCUGCUAUGCAGUGAACACACAAUGAGAACCGCUGAUAUGAUUGGGACGUGCAGAGAUAAAGAAAACCAAAGGGCAGACUUGUGGGUUGGGAAUAGGUACGCUUAACAGAAAAUCCAACUCCCAGUAGUCCAUCCCAAUACAAGCCAGGAGGCAGGCAGCCCAGAGCUGAUGUGACAGCUCCUCCUGAUUCAGGGUCUUGCUCUCUUUCACUCUGCUGUCACUGGGCUGUGGCCUUGGGUCUCAUGAAUCUAACAUGGCUUUUGCCUGCCAGACAUUGGGAUCCCUUCUAGGCAGGGAGGAGAAAAGGGGCACGUCAGCUGCCCUGAUCCCCUUUUAAGAAGCUUUCCCAGGGUGGCACCCAGUGAUUCUGCUCACACCUCAUUGGUUAGGACUGAUUCGCAUGGUUGCCCCAACAUGCACGAUUGGGAAAUGUAGUUGUUAGGAGCAUUGCUACCCUGAGCAAAAACAUGGUUCUGUUAGAAAGGAAGGAGAG